UUCUAUUAGAUAUAGUUAAUAGUAUAAUCUGCUCAAUGAAAAUUAAAUAGCCGCAAAUACUUGUGCUAAGGUAGCAUAAUAAUUCGUUUCCUAAAUAGAAACCAGUACAAAAGAUUAAACAUUUUAAUUAAAUUCUUAAAUUUAAAACUUUAAUUUAUCUUAAAUAUAAAAAGAUAUUUAUUCAAAAGAAAGACGACAAGACCCUAUUGAACUUAACUAUAGUUAAACUGGGGCAGUUAAUUAAUUAUUACUUUAAUUUUUAGUAAUAAAUUAAAUGACCUAAUAUAAAUUAAAUAUUUAAUCAAGUUACUAUAGGGAUAACAGCGUAAUAAAUAUUUAAAGUUCUUAUAAAAAUAAAUAAUUGCGACCUCGAUGUUGAAUAAUAUCCUUUAUUUACGCAAUAGUAAUAUAAGGAAGUCUGUUCGACUUUUAAAAAAUUACA
Molecule: ribosomal RNA, 442 nt
Filed under: Doliomalus sp. MR225
Lineage: Eukaryota; Metazoa; Arthropoda; Arachnida; Araneae; Trochanteriidae
Description: partial 16S ribosomal RNA
Source: RNAcentral